UGGGGAAUAUUGCACAAUGGGCGAAAGCCUGAUGCAGCAACGCCGCGUGAGUGAUGAAGGUCUUCGGAUUGUAAAGCUCUGUCUUUUGGGACGAUAAUGACGGUACCAAAGGAGGAAGCCACGGCUAACUACGUGCCAGCAGCCGCGGUAAUACGUAGGUGGCGAGCGUUGUCCGGAUUUACUGGGCGUAAAGGGUGCGUAGGCGGAUGUUUAAGUGAGAUGUGAAAUACCCGGGCUUAACUUGGGUGCUGCAUUUCAAACUGGAUAUCUAGAGUGCAGGAGAGGAGAAUGGAAUUCCUAGUGUAGCGGUGAAAUGCGUAGAGAUUAGGAAGAACACCAGUGGCGAAGGCGAUUCUCUGGACUGUAACUGACGCUGAGGCACGAAAGCGUGGGUAGCAAACAGGAUUAGAUACCCUGGUAGUCCACGCCGUAAACGAUGAGUACUAGGUGUAGGAGGUAUCGACCCCUUCUGUGCCGCAGUAAACACAUUAAGUACUCCGCCUGGGAAGUACGAUCGCAAGAUUAAAACUCUAAGUGAAUUGAC
This 544-nucleotide ribosomal RNA is filed under the name uncultured bacterium. Its description in RNAcentral is "partial 16S ribosomal RNA". It matches the Rfam family "Bacterial small subunit ribosomal RNA", at positions 355 to 914 of the family's 1533-position model. The record is from RNAcentral.